UAAGGAAUAUUGGUCAAUGGGCGGAAGCCUGAACCAGCCAUGCCGCGUGCAGGAAGACGGCCCUACGGGUUGUAAACUGCUUUUACAGGGGAAUAAACCUUGGUACGUGUACCAAGCUGAAUGUACUCUGAGAAUAAGGAUCGGCUAACUCCGUGCCAGCAGCCGCGGUAAUACGGAGGAUCCAAGCGUUAUCCGGAUUUAUUGGGUUUAAAGGGUGCGUAGGUGGCCUGUUAAGUCAGGGGUGAAAGACGGUAGCUCAACUAUCGCAGUGCCCUUGAUACUGAUGGGCUUGAAUGAACUAGAGGUAGGCGGAAUGUGACAAGUAGCGGUGAAAUGCAUAGAUAUGUCACAGAACACCAAUUGCGAAGGCAGCUUACUAUGGUUUUAUUGACACUGAGGCACGAAAGCGUGGGGAUCAAACA
Molecule: ribosomal RNA, 422 nt
Filed under: uncultured Mucilaginibacter sp.
Lineage: Bacteria; Pseudomonadati; Bacteroidota; Sphingobacteriia; Sphingobacteriales; Sphingobacteriaceae
Description: bacterial SSU rRNA
Rfam family: Bacterial small subunit ribosomal RNA
Source: RNAcentral